RNAcentral lists this unclassified non-coding RNA (974 nucleotides) under Leishmania donovani. RNAcentral describes it as "gene:LdHU3.21.1360(CDS-product:histone_H2A_putati ve)". Lineage: Eukaryota; Euglenozoa; Kinetoplastea; Trypanosomatida; Trypanosomatidae. The record is from RNAcentral.
CUUCAUCGCUCUUCAUCACCUCCUCCGACCCCACACCCCUUCCUCUCUCUCUUCUCCCCAACCAUGGCUACUCCUCGCAGCGCCAAGAAGUCCGCCCGCAAGAGCGGCUCCAAGUCCGCGAAAUGUGGUCUGAUCUUCCCGGUGGGCCGCGUUGGCGGGAUGAUGCGCCACGGCCAGUACGCUCGCCGCAUCGGUGUCUCUGGCGCCGUGUACCUGACAGCCGUGCUGGAGUACCUGACAGCGGAGCUGCUGGAGCUGUCCGUGAAGGCGGCCGCGCAGAGCGGGAAGAAGCGGUGCCGCCUGAACCCGCGCACCGUGAUGCUGGCUGCGCGCCACGACGACGACAUCAGCUCGCUUCUGAAGAACGUGACCUUGUCUCACAGCGGCGUUGUGCCGAACAUCAGCAAGGCGAUGGCGAAGAAGAAGGGCGGCAAGAAGGGCAAGGCGACACCGAGCGCGUAAGUCCUCCGGCCUGACAGCGCGCGAGCCGCUGUAUGUGCGCGUGUGCGCGGCUUCCCACUGGGGCCAGCGAUGAGGCGCAUCAUACCUCCAUAGAGACCCUAUCUUUUGUUUUCUGGGCUUCCCAGAUGACCACUUGAUUCCUUCCUUCCUUUGAUUUGUUUCUCUCCUCCCCUCCGCAGAGGGUACGAGUCAGGGUAGGCUCGGAGAAAGCUUGCCGCAUCCACGAUGAGCCACGGCUGUCUCUCUCUCUCUCUUGACCGGGACAGGCUGUUGCCCAGUCACGCGUAUCGGCGUGCACACCCGCUCUUGCGCCCUGCCCCACUAUUCGUCGAAUGAUGCGCUACGCGCAUGACAGGCGCUGCUGCAGCGCUGCUCCCUGCGGUUGCUGAGUGCGUACAUGCCGUUGCUACUGAUGUGUUUGCACUGCAUCUCACCUCGCUCUCUUUGCGCAUGCGCUUGCCCUUCCUCCCUCCUCGCGACCGUGUCGGUCCUCUCGCGCCGCUGUGGCGCAG